Molecule: long non-coding RNA, 329 nt
Filed under: Brassica napus (rape)
Lineage: Eukaryota; Viridiplantae; Streptophyta; Magnoliopsida; Brassicales; Brassicaceae
Description: long non-coding RNA (BNAP_LNC019624)
Source: RNAcentral
ACUUAUAUAAAUGUAUAUAUAAAUAGAUUAUUAAUUUAUGAUUUUAACGGAACCAUAUAUUUACAUAUGACUUUCUAAAAAAAUAUUUUCUUAUUAUGUUCUCGAUUUGUCUCAUAUUUUGAAUCGGCUCAACUCGGGACCGGAGAAAUUUAUUAAUUUAUAGUGUGUAUUAAUUUAUUGAUUAUUAAUUUACAGAGUUUCUACUGUAGUUGAUAAUCGGGUUGACUUCUUGAAACCCCACAAACUAAUAAAAACCACACUCAAUCCACCCAUACUUUUAAGCCCUUCCUAAACCCUCUACUAAACUCAUCAAUUACCCACCUUAACUC